UGAAUAUAAACAAAGUUUAUGAGAAAUGAGGUAUUGACGUAUAUCGGGUUUCAAAUCUCUUAGAAACAUUCGCGUCAUUCGCUCAUCAUUAUCGACCAAAUGGGAUGUAAACCGGGAUAACUUCACAAAUUUAGCCUCGUAUUGCGACACGGUCAUAUUGUUUUGCUCCAACUUGAUAAACUCCACCUCCUUCAUGUGAUGAAUACUUUCGGGAAAG
This 217-nucleotide long non-coding RNA is filed under the name Panax ginseng (ginseng). RNAcentral's name for it is "long non-coding RNA (PGIN_LNC003010)". Lineage: Eukaryota; Viridiplantae; Streptophyta; Magnoliopsida; Apiales; Araliaceae. The record is from RNAcentral.